CCCUUAGAUGUUCUGGGCCGCACGCGUGCUACACUGAUGCAUUCAACGAGUCUAAAACCUGGUCUGAUAGGGCUGGGUAAUCUUUUGAAAGUGCAUCGUGAUUGGGAUAGAUGAUUGCAAUUCUUCGUCUUCAACGAGGAAUGCCUAGUAAACGCAAGUCAUCAGCUUGCAUUGAUUACGUCCCUGCCCUUUGUACACACCGCCCGUCGCUCCUACCGAUUGAAUGAUCCGAUGAAUACCAUGGAUUGAGAGUACGAAUAGGUUCGCUUAUUUCUGCUGCUCGAGAAGUGGAGUAAAUCUUAUCAUUUAGAGGAAGGAGAAGUCGUAACA
This 330-nucleotide ribosomal RNA is filed under the name uncultured eukaryote. Its description in RNAcentral is "partial 18S ribosomal RNA". It matches the Rfam family "Eukaryotic small subunit ribosomal RNA", at positions 1470 to 1796 of the family's 1831-position model. The record is from RNAcentral.